CACCUGGGGGAGCUGCUUAAAAUGAAAGGAUUCCGACCCAAUAGGUGGGCCUGAGAUUCUGCAUUGCUAACAAGCUCCCAGGUGU
Molecule: microRNA precursor, 85 nt
Filed under: Myotis lucifugus (little brown bat)
Lineage: Eukaryota; Metazoa; Chordata; Mammalia; Chiroptera; Vespertilionidae
Description: miRNA (ENSMLUG00000025520.1)
Source: RNAcentral